UGGAAGUGGAAUCAGAGAUGGGUUUCCCCUCCCGGAAGGAUUUUGACGUUGCUGGGUCUAUCCAAGAGCUGUUUGCAGGGAGUGAUACCAUGGGCAUGGCUGACCCUUUGUGCCUUCAGCAUCUCUAGCACCCCGUCAGAGAAGAAACCUUUCACAGGCUUCUGGGCCCAUAUCCCGACGUAUCCACACCAGGACAGCCCAGCAAGACUCCUAGGAAGGUGCCAGGCAGUGAGGAGUCAGACCCAGCGUGUUUGAGCACUGAGCAAGCAUUAGCUGGAGAAACCUGGGAUUUUCCAGCAAGCCUGGGGCUGUCCAGCACCUAACUCCUGUAGCCUCCUUUGAAAUUCCUCCUCUAAUUAAUAAAUAAGUAGCAAGUUUCACUGACAUAAUUUCAGAGCUAUUGCUCUUAAUUAAAUAACAAGUUAUUAAAAUACUUUCAAAACUGGA
This is a long non-coding RNA of Haemorhous mexicanus (house finch), 447 nucleotides long. RefSeq lists it as uncharacterized. The transcript has 2 exons. The record is from RefSeq and is a predicted model, not a curated record. NCBI's taxonomy places the organism in Eukaryota, Metazoa, Chordata, Aves, Passeriformes, Fringillidae.